RNAcentral lists this ribosomal RNA (738 nucleotides) under Triticum aestivum (bread wheat). Its description in RNAcentral is "partial small subunit ribosomal RNA". Lineage: Eukaryota; Viridiplantae; Streptophyta; Magnoliopsida; Poales; Poaceae. The record is from RNAcentral.
AUGGCUCAAGUUCUUCACAGCCUCCAUGAGCCCCAAGUCCUUGUGCUCAUCGUAUGCCCUCUUAUCCUCCUCCUCCUCAUCGUUCGGCUUGCCACAUCCACGACAACCACAAGGAGAGCAGACAAGCUGCUCGAUAGACUCCCAUCGCCUCCCUACAAGCUCCCUCUCAUCGGCCACCUCCACCUCGUCGGUUCACUGCCCCACAUUUCCCUCCGCAGUCUCGCUAAGAAGCAUGGCCUGGAUGUCAUGCUUCUACGCCUUGGCGCCGUCCCCAGCCUCGUUGUGUCGUCCGCUCGUGCAGCCAUGGCAGUUCUCCGCACGCACGACCAUGUGUGUGCGUCCCGGGUGCAGUCCGCUGUGACUGACGUCCUCUUCUAUGGGUCAACUGAUAUGGCCUUCUCCCCAUAUGGGGAUCACUGGCGCCAGAUUAGAAAGAUUGUCGCAACACAUCUUCUUGGUUCGAAGAAAGUUGGCUCCUACCGUCUCGCCCGUGAAAAAGAGGUACAACACACUCUGGCGAGGAUCCGCGAGGCAACCGCCAGGAGCGAUGCAGUGGACCUUAGUAAGCUGCUUAGCUCGUUCACCACUGAUAUUGUUUGCCAUGCUGUGUCGGGCAAGUCCUUCAGAGGGGGCGGUCGGAACGAGUUGUUCCGCGAGCUGGUAGAGACUAGCUCGAUGCUCAUAGGUGGGUUCAACCUGGAGACUACUUCCCCAAGUUGGCAAGGCUGGACGUGGUAA